Molecule: long non-coding RNA, 402 nt
Filed under: Zostera marina
Lineage: Eukaryota; Viridiplantae; Streptophyta; Magnoliopsida; Alismatales; Zosteraceae
Description: long non-coding RNA (ZMAR_LNC003025)
Source: RNAcentral
UGCUCGUACUUGUGUUUCCCUUUUAAAAAAUAAUAAAAUAAUUUAAAAUGAUUAACUAAAUGUUUAUAAUAAGAAUUUUAGUGAGUAUUGAAUAACUUACUUUCAGAGUAGCGAUUUCGUCUAACAAGUCUUUCUGUUUUUGUAUCAAGGCCGUCAUUUGUUGGUUAACCGUCUCGAAUCUCUGGUUAACGGCCGAAUCUAAUCUCUGGCUAACGACCGUCUCUAAUUGCAUGUUAACGGCUUCUUGAACUCGAUUAUCGAAUUCUUCUUUUUUCUUCUUUUCUAUUUCUUCUCUUGUUUGGCGAUUCAAUUUAGCCUUGGAUUGCUUUGGCAUCAAUGAAUCGUCCCCCGGUCUCAAUCCGAGAAUACGGCCCUUUGUUUUGCCUCCUGUAGCCUUAAUCC